This 423-nucleotide ribosomal RNA is filed under the name uncultured Glomeromycotina. RNAcentral describes it as "SSU rRNA". It matches the Rfam family "Eukaryotic small subunit ribosomal RNA", at positions 671 to 1092 of the family's 1831-position model. The record is from RNAcentral. Lineage: Eukaryota; Fungi; Glomeromycota.
CGGUACGUACUGGCAUUGUUGGUUCCUCCCUUCUGACGAACCAUGAUGUCAUUUAUUUGGUGUUGUGGGGAAUCAGGACUGUUACUUUGAAAAAAUUAGAGUGUUUAAAGCAGGCUCACGCUUGAAUACAUUAGCAUGGAAUAAUGAAAUAGGACGUUUGAUUCUAUUUUGUUGGUUUCUAGGAUCGACGUAAUGAUUAAUAGGGAUAGUUGGGGGCAUUAGUAUUCAAUUGUCAGAGGUGAAAUUCUUGGAUUUAUUGAAGACUAACUACUGCGAAAGCAUUUGCCAAGGAUGUUUUCAUUAAUCAAGAACGAAAGUUAGGGGAUCGAAGACGAUCAGAUACCGUCGUAGUCUUAACCAUAAACUAUGCCGACUAGGGAUCGGAUGAUGUUAAUUUUUUAAUGACUCAUUCGGCGCCUUACG